Molecule: ribosomal RNA, 515 nt
Filed under: uncultured bacterium
Lineage: Bacteria
Description: partial 16S ribosomal RNA
Rfam family: Bacterial small subunit ribosomal RNA
Source: RNAcentral
GAUGAACGCUGGCGGCGUGCCUGAUACAUGCAAGUCGAGCGAAUGGAUUAAGAGCUUGCUCUUAUGAAGUUAGCGGCGGACGGGUGAGUAACACGUGGGUAACCUGCCCAUAAGACUGGGAUAACUCCGGGAAACCGGGGCUAAUACCGGAUAACAUUUUGAACCGCAUGGGUCGAAAUUGAAAGGCGGCUUCGGCUGUCACUUAUGGAUGGACCCGCGUCGCAUUAGCUAGUUGGUGAGGUAACGGCUCACCAAGGCAACGAUGUGUAGCCGACCUGAGAGGGUGAUCGGCCACACUGGGACUGAGACACGGCCCAGACUCCUACGGGAGGCAGCAGUAGGGAAUCUUCCGCAAUGGACGAAAGUCUGACGGAGCAACGCCGCGUGAGUGAUGAAGGCUUUCGGGUCGUAAAACUCUGUUGUUAGGGAAGAACAAGUGCUAGUUGAAUAAGCUGGCACCUUGACGGUACCUAACCAGAAAGCCACGGCUAACUACGUGCCAGCCGCCGCCGUAA